This 460-nucleotide ribosomal RNA is filed under the name uncultured bacterium. RNAcentral describes it as "partial 16S ribosomal RNA". It matches the Rfam family "Bacterial small subunit ribosomal RNA", at positions 338 to 795 of the family's 1533-position model. The record is from RNAcentral.
CCUACGGGGGGCAGCAGUGAGGAAUAUUGGUCAAUGGACGAGAGUCUGAACCAGCCAAGUAGCGUGAAGGAUGACUGCCCUAUGGGUUGUAAACUUCUUUUAUAUGGGAAUAAAAUGUUCCACGUGUGGGCUUUUGUAUGUACCAUAUGAAUAAGGGUCGGCUAACUCCGUGCCAGCAGCCGCGGUAAUACGGAGGAGCCGAGCGUUAUCCUGAUUUAUUUGGUUUAAAGGGAGCGUAGGUGGAGUGUUAAGUCAGAUGUGAAAGUUUGCGGCUCAACCGUAAAAUUGCAGUUGAAACUGGCAGUCUAGAGUACAGUAGAGGUGGGCGGAAUUCGAGGUGUAGCGGUGAAAUGCUUAGAUAUCACGAAGAACUCCGAUUGCGAAGGCAGUUCACUGGACUGAAACUGACACUGAGGCGCGAAAGUGUGGGUAUCAAACAGGAUUAGAUACCCGGGUAGUC